This is a non-coding RNA of Ceratotherium simum simum (southern white rhinoceros), 154 nucleotides long. NCBI's taxonomy places the organism in Eukaryota, Metazoa, Chordata, Mammalia, Perissodactyla, Rhinocerotidae. The record is from RefSeq and is a predicted model, not a curated record.
CUGAAUUGGAGGAAUUAAUUAAUAUUGUUAAAAUGUCCAUACUAACCAAAGCCAUCCUCAGAUUCAAUGCACUCGCUAUCAAAAUUGCAAUGGCAUUUCUCAUAGAAAUAUAAAAAACAAUCAUAAAAUUUAUACGGAACCACAAAAGACCUUG